Molecule: ribosomal RNA, 497 nt
Filed under: uncultured bacterium
Lineage: Bacteria
Description: partial 16S ribosomal RNA
Rfam family: Bacterial small subunit ribosomal RNA
Source: RNAcentral
GAUGAACGCUGGCGGCGUGCCUAAUACAUGCAAGUCGAGCGAACAGAUGAGGAGCUUGCUCCUCUGACGUUAGCGGCGGACGGGUGAGUAACACGUGGAUAACCUACCUAUAAGACUGGGAUAACUUCGGGAAACCGGAGCUAAUACCGGAUAAUAUAUUGAACCGCAUGGUUCAAUAGUGAAAGACGGUUUUGCUGUCACUUAUAGAUGGAUCCGCGCCGCAUUAGCUAGUUGGUAAGGUAACGGCUUACCAAGGCAACGAUGCGUAGCCGACCUGAGAGGGGGAUCGGCCACACUGGAACUGAGACACGGUCCAGGCUCCUAAGGGAGGCAGCAGUAGGGAAUCUUCCGCAAUGGGCGAAAGCCUGACGGAGCAACGCCGCGUGAGUGAUGAAGGUCUUCGGAUCGUAAAACUCUGUUAUUAGGGAAGAACAAAUGUGUAAGUAACUAUGCACGUCUUGACGGUACCUAAUCAGAAAGCCACGGCUAACUACGUG